RNAcentral lists this ribosomal RNA (1049 nucleotides) under Geoglossum glabrum. Its description in RNAcentral is "eukaryotic LSU rRNA". The stretch from base 670 to 823 matches the Rfam family "5.8S ribosomal RNA". The record is from RNAcentral. Lineage: Eukaryota; Fungi; Ascomycota; Geoglossomycetes; Geoglossales; Geoglossaceae.
UCUUGGUCAUUUUAGAGGAAGUAAAAGUCGUAACAAGGUUUCCAUAGAACAAGUCCUUCCGUGGGUAACACUUGCUGAAGCAUUAGCAGCCCGAAAGGGUGCCCCCCAGCGACUAUAAACAACUAGAGGGUCUGAAAUGCUAGUCUCCUCCCUGAUAGGGAGGAAGGCAACACUGUCAAAUUGCGGGAAACCCCUAAAGACCUUGACACCAAGCGUUUACUGGAAACCGUAGCGUGGCCGAGCUAAUUGCCCUGGGUAUGGUAAAAGUUCAAGGUAUGAGUCCAAGUAAUUGGAUGAAAUGGGCAAUCUGCAGCCAAAUCCUAAGGAUACCCUAUCUAGGGGAUCUAUGGAUGCUGUUCACAGGCCAAAUGGCAGUGGGUGAAAGGAAAAUAAAAACAUUCCCUUUGCUUAAGAUAUGGUCGGUCCCCCAGUGAAAAUUGGGGGAACAAGUUUACUCUGAGAAAUGAAAGAACUUUCAUUUCAGUAACAAAUGUUCCGUAGGUGAACCUGCGGAAGGAUCAUUACUGAGUAAGGGUCUUAUGGCCCAACCUCCAACCCCCUGUAUACUACCAAGCUCUUCUAUGUUGCUUCGGUGGGCUGCAAUGUCUACCGAAGCACAACAAAAACUCUUAUAAUUGAUGGUGUCUGAGUAAAUUAAGAAAUUAUUAAAACUUUCAACAACGGAUCUCUUGGUUCCCGCAUCGAUGAAGAACGCAGCGAAAUGCGAUAAGUAAUGUGAAUUGCAGAAUUCAGUGAAUCAUCGAAUCUUUGAACGCACAUUGCGCCCCUUGGUAUUCCGAGGGGCAUGCCUGUUCGAGCGUCAUGAUCAAAUCUCAAGCCUAGCUUGGAAUUGGGCUUUCGUCUCCUGCCAUUGCGGCUAGUUGAGACGUGCCUAAAAAGAAAUGGCGAUGCCUCAAUGGACUCUAGCGUAGCAGACUGACUUGCGCUUGGAGGGCUGCUGUAGGUUUUUGCUAAUAAAACAAUCAAGUUGGACCUCGGAUCACGUAGGGAUACCCGCUGAACUUAAGCAUAUCAAAAACCGGGAGGAA